AUUACACUGGCAUUGGUUUCCAUAAAUGUAUUGUUAGCUCUUUCCUUCAUGACAGUGGAACUUCAAACAGUCCAAUUUUAACAGCUCCAGGGUGUCCUUUGGAACGUGACCUUUGUCAGAACGCACUUCAGACUGUGGAUGGGAAUGGAUGCAGUUGAACCAGUUUCUUUUGAAGACCCUGACCUGGAGUUACACGCUGGUUUCACUACAAUGGGACCCGCUCUCAGGGCCUCACAACUGGUUACUUUUCGAAAUGCCAGGGACAUGGCCAGGGAGACUAAUGCACCUUCAGGGUGCUGGAUUUUUGUGGCUGUGGAGGUGGCAGAUUCGAGGUCGGUGCCACCGCUUGAUGCAUUGUGGGAGUACAUGGAAGAUCAGAAGCAGUGAACUGGCUGCUGUCUGUGUGCCCGAGACCCGAGUUCUUCAGGCACAGAGCCUGAAAAAAGCGAUGCAACAGACUUUUAACACCAUAAAUCAGCAAGUUGUUUGUUAUCUCUCCCCUCUCACCGUGAAAUGGGGACACCUCUUUUUCGCUUACUAGGGAGAGAGAGAGCCUGGGGUAUGUCGAAUACCAGGUGAAUGAGUAGUCUUUGGGGUACUGCAAGUCUGUGUUUUUACUGAUGCUUUACUGCACGCUUGAGUGCCCGGUGGAAGGUGCAGAUGCUUGUUUGCUGGUGGGGGUGAAGUGGUGAGUCAUUGCCUUGCUAC
Hypanus sabinus (Atlantic stingray) is the source of this 708-nucleotide long non-coding RNA. RefSeq lists it as uncharacterized. The record is from RefSeq and is a predicted model, not a curated record. NCBI's taxonomy places the organism in Eukaryota, Metazoa, Chordata, Chondrichthyes, Myliobatiformes, Dasyatidae. The transcript is spliced from 3 exons.